Haliotis rubra (blacklip abalone) is the source of this 88-nucleotide non-coding RNA. The record is from the annotation of a RefSeq genome assembly. Lineage: Eukaryota; Metazoa; Mollusca; Gastropoda; Lepetellida; Haliotidae.
GCUGUGAUGGCCGAGUGGUUAAGUAUGGGCGUUGGACUUGAAAUCCAAAUGGGUUAUUCCCGCGCAGGUUCGAAUCCUGUUCACAGCG